Molecule: ribosomal RNA, 481 nt
Filed under: uncultured Glomus
Lineage: Eukaryota; Fungi; Glomeromycota; Glomeromycetes; Glomerales; Glomeraceae
Description: SSU rRNA
Rfam family: Eukaryotic small subunit ribosomal RNA
Source: RNAcentral
AGCAGCCGCGGUAAUUCCAGCUCCAAUAGCGUAUAUUAAAGUUGUUGCAGUUAAAAAGCUCGUAGUUGAAUUUCGGGAUCAAUACGUCGGUCGUGCUUCGGUACGUACUGGCGUAAUUGAUUUCUCCCUUCUGACGAACCAUGAUGUCAUUAACUUGGUGUCAUGGGAAAUCAGGACUGUUACUUUGAAAAAUUAGAGUGUUUAAAGCAGGCUCACGCUUGAAUACAUUAGCAUGGAAUAAUGAAAUAGGACGUUCGAUCCUAUUUUGUUGGUUUUUAGGAUCAACGUAAUGAUUAAUAGGGAUAGUUGGGGGCAUUAGUAUUCAAUUGUCAGAGGUGAAAUUCUUGGAUUUAUUGAAGACUAACUACUGCGAAAGCAUUUGCCAAGGAUGUUUUCAUUAAUCAAGAACGAAAGUUAGGGGAUCGAAGACGAUCAGAUACCGUCGUAGUCUUAACCAUAAACUAUGCCGACUAGGGAUCGG